This 492-nucleotide ribosomal RNA is filed under the name uncultured bacterium. RNAcentral describes it as "partial 16S ribosomal RNA". It matches the Rfam family "Bacterial small subunit ribosomal RNA", at positions 29 to 507 of the family's 1533-position model. The record is from RNAcentral.
AGUGAACGCUGGCGGUAGGCCUAACACAUGCAAGUCGAACGGCAGCACAGUAAGAGCUUGCUCUUACGGGUGGCGAGUGGCGGACGGGUGAGGAAUACAUCGGAACCUACUUUUUCGUGGGGGAUAAUGUAGGGAAACUUACGCUAAUACCGCAUACGACCUACGGGUGAAAGCAGGGGAUCUUCGGACCUUGCGCGAUUGAAUGAGCCGAUGUCGGAUUAGCUAGUUGGCGGGGUAAAGGCCCACCAAGGCGACGAUCCGUAGCUGGUCUGAGAGGAUGAUCAGCCACACUGGAACUGAGACACGGUCCAGACUCCUACGGGAGGCGGCAGUGGGGAAUAUUGGACAAUGGGCGCAAGCCUGAUCCAGCCAUACCGCGUGGGUGAAGAAGGCCUUCGGGUUGUAAAGCCCUUUUGUUGGGAAAGAAAAGCAGCAGGUUAAUACCCCGCUGUUCUGACGGUACCCAAAGAAUAAGCACCGGCUAACUUCGUG